This 494-nucleotide ribosomal RNA is filed under the name uncultured bacterium. RNAcentral describes it as "partial 16S ribosomal RNA". It matches the Rfam family "Bacterial small subunit ribosomal RNA", at positions 28 to 507 of the family's 1533-position model. The record is from RNAcentral.
GACGAACGCUGGCGGCGUGCUUAACACAUGCAAGUCGAACGGUGAAGCGCCUUCCUUUUUGGUGGGUGUGGAUGAGUGGCGAACGGGUGAGUAACACGUGAGUAACCUGCCCCCUUCUUCUGGAUAACCGCAUGAAAGUGUGGCUAAUACGGGAUAUUCUGGGUCUGUCGCAUGAUGGGUCUGGGAAAGAUAUUGUUUCGGUGGGGGAUGGGCUCGCGGCCUAUCAGCUUGUUGGUGGGGUGAUGGCCUACCAAGGCGGUGACGGGUAGCCGGCCUGGGAGGGUGGACGGUCUCACUGGGACUGGGACACGGCCCAGACUCCUACGGGAGGCAGCAGGGGGGAAUAUUGCACAGUGGGCGCAAGCCUGAUGCAGCGACGCCGCGUGAGGGAUGGAGGCCUUCGGGUUGUGAACCUCUUUCGCCAGUGAAGCAGGCCUGCCUCGUUUGUGGGUGGGUUGACGGUAGCUGGAUAAGAAGCGCCGGCUAACUACGUG